RNAcentral lists this ribosomal RNA (340 nucleotides) under uncultured eukaryote. RNAcentral's name for it is "bacterial SSU rRNA". It matches the Rfam family "Eukaryotic small subunit ribosomal RNA", at positions 592 to 938 of the family's 1831-position model. The record is from RNAcentral.
CAAUAGCGUAUAUUAAAGUUGUUGCAGUUAAAAGCUCGUAGUUGAACUUCGGAACCGGUCGAUUGGUCCGUCCUCUGGAUUGUGUACUGAUCGAUCUGUUCUUCUUCGCGAAGACCGCGUGUGCCCUUAACUGGGUGUGCACGGGAUUCACGACGUUUACUUUGAAAAAUUAGAGUGUUCAAAGCAGGCUAUUGCUUGAAUACAUGAGCAUGGAAUAAUGGAAUAGGACUUUGGUCCCAUUUUGUUGGUUUUCUAGGGCCGAAGUAAUGAUUAAGAGGGACAAUUGGGGGCAUCCGUAUUUCGUUGUCAGAGGUGAAAUUCUUGGAUUUACGAAAGACGA